Molecule: ribosomal RNA, 452 nt
Filed under: uncultured bacterium
Lineage: Bacteria
Description: partial 16S ribosomal RNA
Rfam family: Bacterial small subunit ribosomal RNA
Source: RNAcentral
GUCGAGAAUCUUCCCCAAUGGGCGAAAGCCUGAGGGAGCGACGCCGCGUGAGGGAUGAAGGCCCUUUGGGUUGUAAACCUCUGUUAGGGGGAAAGAAAAGCAGUGGAAGCAAUAUGUCCAUUGCCUGACGUUACCCCCAGAGAAAGCUCCGGCCAACUCCGUGCCAGCAGCCGCGGUAAUACGGGGGGAGCAAGCGUUGUCCGGAAUCAUUGGGCGUAAAGGGCGUGUAGGCGGCUUGGCAAGUCGAAUGUGAAAUCCCACGGCUCAACCGUGGAACUGCGUUGGAAACUGCCUUGCUUGAGGGCGGGAGAGGUGUGCGGAAUUCCUGGUGGAGCGGUGGAAUGCGUAGAUAUCAGGAAGAACACCGGUGGCGAAGGCGGCACACUGGCCCAGCACUGACGCUGAGGCGCGAAAGCGUGGGGAGCGAACGGGAUUAGAUACCCUUGUAGUCC